AAUCAGAACUCGCGGUGGGGGCUGCUGGUUCUUCCAGGAGCGCGCAUGAGCGGACGCUGCCUACUGGUGGCCGGGCGGGAUGUAACCGGCUGCUGAGCUGGCAGUUCUGUGUCGCUAGGCUUCUGCCCGGCCGCCGCCGCACAUAAGCCACGAGGAGGAGCUUUACGACUUCCCGGUCUUCGGCGCCGGGCGCAGCAAGGGCCAGACUCUGCGCUAGCAGGCGCUGCGCGCCAACCGGCCGGCACCUGUCGCAGAAGGUGCAACCGAUCGCACUGUCGCGCAGAAGCUCCUCAAUGGCCAGCGCCAGCUGCAGCCCCGGCCGCCCACUCGCCUCAUCUGAGCCUGGCAGAAGGUAAGCAUGAGCAAAUUACUUUUUAGAGGUAACUUUGCUGAACUUGUGAAGAAUGGUGUGCAAGGUCCAGAGCGACUGCAGGAGAGGGAAGGUGGGAUUCCCACAGAGCAGGAGCACAGAUAAGCCAAGCAAGGCCCUGCUUGGAAGGCAGCAAUCAACAGAGAUGCACAGACCUGUGAGGGUGCCGGGACAGCCAUGCAACAAUGCAGCCCUUUUGCUUCCUGAGCUCACCAGUUCCCUCGCUCCACCUCUGAGAGGUGGUUUGGAGAAACACAGCCCUUCUCAAGAGGGCUGCAAGCUACUUAAGUCCUGAAAAUUUCCACAAGGCUGAGUCAAAUCUGCGUUUCAUCAUCUAUAAGAAAGGUACCUAUCGAGAACACCCUGCUGGCCAGUGUGUAAAUAUCUAAAGGAGGACUCAGAAAACACCGGGGAAGUCCAGCCUGCACGUGGUGGCUGGGCUUCAGUGAAGCAUGCAGCACAACAGGAGUUGUAAGUAGUAGUUACAUCAGCAGCCCUGGAAAUUCUGCUCAGAACCAAACUGAACAAAUAACAUUAUCUAAGGCUUACAAUUAUUUAACUCCCUAAAUUUUCUGUCCUCCCAGUAGCACUUUCAAAUGCCUAAAAGCAAUUAAAAGAAACAUUUUUCCAAUGUCUCACAGAACCAUUAGAAACACAAAAUUAAUAGCUUCAUAAACUAUAGCUUCUAUUUUAUCCAUAAUAGAAUGAAGGUGCAUAAACCACAUAGUAAUUAAUCUUUGGACAAAAGCAAACAAUAAAUGGAAUAUAUGGCUAAGAUCCUUUCUUUUUGAGUGUGGCCCAAGAUAAAAAUUUCUUCCAAAAGGGUAACAUUAAUGCAAUAAGGCUUUUGUGGAAUUCUAUUUUGUACGAAAUUCCUGUUUUCUAUUAGCUACUUCUUCCUCUGUGACACAAGCCUCAUUCCUUGUGAAAAACACGAAGCAGAAAACAUUCGUGAAAUCAUCAGGUAAAGAUCCCAUGACCGUUCUAUCACUGACACAGUAUGUAGGUACAUGGUACAACCCCCAAGGGACCACCUUGUGGCAUCCUCAGCAACCACAGAGCCACAGGGCAGAUGAGUGUUUGCUCCCACUGAGGCUCUGCAACCUCUGCCACCAAUACUGGAGAAAUCCUCCAACCUCACUGUUUUCUCCUGAACUUGUUCCCUUCUGUUUUUCGAUUAAUACACAGCAAACAGGCACACCUUCAAGCUGCCAAAAGCAUCUUAAACGUUGUACACUUACAAUCUUCAAAAUAUAGUUGUUCAAAAGAGUCAUCAAAGUAGUUUUUGAAAUAGAACACUUACUUUGACCACAUAAUUGAACCUUCGGAUAUCUUGAAUUGCACUUGAGAAGUCUAACCGAUUAAAGGCUUCUCCCAAGGUGCAAUAGCCAUGCCUCUGGAAGAGCAACACAGAAUUUAAAAUUAGUCAAUUAGCCAAAAAGAAUUGGCAGUUAAUGUCAAUUAAUUGUGCGAUUAAAAAAAUUUUUGGCAAAGGACAA
Long non-coding RNA from Homo sapiens (human), 1869 nucleotides. Ensembl annotates it as long intergenic non-protein coding RNA 1409. Lineage: Eukaryota; Metazoa; Chordata; Mammalia; Primates; Hominidae. The record is from Ensembl.